UACGUAGGUGGCGAGCGUUGUCCGGAUUUAUUGGGCGUAAAGCGCGCGCAGGCGGUCCGUUACGUCCGUUGUGAAAGCUCCCGGCUCAACUGGGAGAGGUCUUCGGAUACGGGCGGACUCGAGGAAGGUAGAGGAAGGUGGAAUUCCCGGUGUGGUGGUGAAAUGCGUAGAGAUCGGGAGGAACACCAGUGGCGAAGGCGGCCUUCUGGGCCUUUCCUGACGCUGAGGCGCGAAAGCGUGGGGAGCGAACCGA
RNAcentral lists this ribosomal RNA (253 nucleotides) under uncultured bacterium. RNAcentral describes it as "partial 16S ribosomal RNA". It matches the Rfam family "Bacterial small subunit ribosomal RNA", at positions 524 to 776 of the family's 1533-position model. The record is from RNAcentral.